Molecule: non-coding RNA, 119 nt
Filed under: Hemiselmis andersenii
Lineage: Eukaryota; Cryptophyceae; Cryptomonadales; Hemiselmidaceae
Source: RNAcentral
UCAAAUAUUUGUGCGCAAAUUGUGCCCCGGACCUUAAAUUUUUCCGUUUUUUCUUUUCGGUUUUUCUUUUGCUUUGGCCUUUUGAGUCUUGGUGCUUAUUCGGUUAUUUAAAAAAAAAG